This 253-nucleotide ribosomal RNA is filed under the name uncultured bacterium. Its description in RNAcentral is "partial 16S ribosomal RNA". It matches the Rfam family "Bacterial small subunit ribosomal RNA", at positions 524 to 776 of the family's 1533-position model. The record is from RNAcentral.
UACGAAGGGGGCUAGCGUUGCUCGGAAUCACUGGGCGUAAAGCGCACGUAGGCGGCUUACUAAGUCAGGGGUGAAAUCCUGGAGCUCAACUCCAGAACUGCCUUUGAUACUGGUGAGCUCGAGUCCGGGAGAGGUGAGUGGAACUGCGAGUGUAGAGGUGAAAUUCGUAGAUAUUCGCAAGAACACCAGUGGCGAAGGCGGCUCACUGGCCCGGUACUGACGCUGAGGUGCGAAAGCGUGGGGAGCAAACAGG